RNAcentral lists this long non-coding RNA (246 nucleotides) under Mustela putorius furo (domestic ferret). RNAcentral describes it as "lncRNA (ENSMPUG00000024628.1)". Lineage: Eukaryota; Metazoa; Chordata; Mammalia; Carnivora; Mustelidae. The record is from RNAcentral.
CUCUGACAUGGCGACUGUUACUCAGUCUCAUUUGCCACCAAUUCCCUUCCCCUUGCACUUCCUCUUGCCAAAUAUAUUUGGAGUGACAAUGAGAGAUUCCAAAUGAUGUGAAGAAAUAAACUUCUCCUGGGUAAGACAAGACCAGCUUCUGUAGAAGGCUCAGCAUGACUCUACUCACAUACAUCAGACUGUGAGUUGGCAGUAGAAGAGAUCUAGGAUUUUGUGUUUGUGGCCAAGACCAAAGGG